GAAAUGGUGGAAAUAUUAAUAUUGAAGUUUCCUCUCAAUUUUAUAUUUUGUAAAAUAUCACAAAUUUAAAUCUGAACCAUAUGAAUGCUCUAUUAAUGUAGAGAGAGAAAAAAAAAGAUUGUUAAAGAUAGUGGGGAGGUGUAGAGUAUUUUUGGAAUAAAAAAAAUAGUGGGAAAGUGUAGAAUAUUUUUGAAAUAAAUUAAAAUAGUGGAGAGGUACAAGACCUACUUGGGGAGGUGGAACGAGCAACACCCUAUUCGAUUAAUACCCAAUCCAACCCGACCCAUGUUAAAAGUUCUUAAUCUUUACUAGUAUCAUGAAUAAAAAUUUAGAUUAUUUUAUAUUUUUUUGAAUCUUAUGUGAGACGUAGCAUUAGAUACUUGUCAAAUGUGACAUCGG
This 399-nucleotide long non-coding RNA is filed under the name Vigna radiata. Its description in RNAcentral is "long non-coding RNA (VRAD_LNC007800)". Lineage: Eukaryota; Viridiplantae; Streptophyta; Magnoliopsida; Fabales; Fabaceae. The record is from RNAcentral.